UGAACGCCGGGUGAGCUACCCGGAUGGCUCUUCCGGUUCUUUGUGCGGCCUUCACCCAGUGAGGGAGCCUGUGCCCCCUGCCCAGUCGCUUUCGGGGCGCUGAGGAGCUUCCGCUGCCAUCUUCGGAUGCUGUGUCCCGCACGGAGGGUCCACCAGGGCAGGGAUAGUGGUUCAAACAAUACAGAAGUGUAUAAAGUAAGAAUUGAAAGUCUCUUCGCUGCUCUAAUCUCACUCCUCAGAGGUGAUCACUGGACCUGAGUGAGCAGAAGGCUUUUCAGAAUUACAGCCUGAACUAUUUCUUGAGCAAUUUGGGAACUCAUUUCUAAAGCAGUCCUCAGAUUCACACAACGUAGUUUGUGACGGAGUAUGCCCAGAGCAGCUGUCUUGUUGAUGGGGGUGCACCCUGACGAAUGGUGUGCUGGCAAAGAUUUAACAAAAGGCUCCAGAGGAGGGCAGACUUGAAGUGGAGCCUUCAGUGGGCAGUGUGAAGGGUGCUGAUUUCAAACAACUCAUCUGGUAUGACUGAACAUGAAGUUGGGAAGAGAUGUGCAUAAUUGAAGUGGGUGAGAGCCAGUCCAGCACCCUGCAGAGAGUGUGGAAGAUGAUCAAAGUAUGACAUUUCUUCUACCCCAGAGGCUGGCAUUUCUGCAGGCACAAAUGAGCUUGGUUUUCAAGCACUGCUCUUUGAACACAAGGAAUUCCUUUAAUGAUCACGCCGGACUAUAUAGACUUUGGAAUCAGACUCUUUGAAUUCCAGCUCUGCCAUUUACCAACUUUGACACUUUGGACAACGUCUCAUUCUGUCACCCAGGCUGGAGUGCAGUGGCACAAUUAUAGCUCACUGCAGCCUCAAACACCUGGGCUCAAGCAAUCCUUCCACCUCUGCCUCCUGAGUAAUUGGGACUACAGGGUUUUGGAAAUCUGGAUUGUAGCAGGGCAUUGUAAGUUAAAAAAUCAUCUUCCCAUUCUGUUCUUUGCAAAGAUAUUUCUGUUCCUUAAAUUUGUUGAGGGUAAGAGAUUGCAGAUUGCUUCUGUGGACUUCUUGAAGGUGGAUCUGCCUGUUGGUGGAGAACCCUAGACUGCAUGCAGCCAUGCACAUGAUCUGGAGACACAGCAGGUCAUCCUCAGCAUUUAUACUCUCUCUCCUUUUGUGCCCCCAUGGACCAAGUUAAGAAGGUGUAGGCUUCAAAUCUUAAGAUCGGUCACCACAAAAUUCAAAAAGACAAGGUCUUUGUCUGUUGCUCAGGAUGGAGUGUAGUGGUGCCAUAGCACACUGUAAUCUUGAAUUUCUGGACUACUGGCAUACACCACCAUGCUUAGGUUCGGGCCACAACAUCCGUGACUUUACCGGUUUUGGUCUCUUCCUUGUAACUUUCGGCUCCAGGAUGCUGCGCAGCUCCUCUCUGCACUAUCUAUCAGAACGUUGCUCUGCGUGCUUGAAAGUUUCGCCAAACAGAAGUACACAAAAACAAACAGAGGCGAAACACAAAUCCCCUCAGCCCUGGAGGAAAAGGCCUUGAAGCUCUUCCAGUGCAGAGGCCACGCAGAGGACAUGCUCCUACCUGUGCACAUCGGCCACGCCUGGGGUGCCUCCUGGAGUCCAGGCUGCUGGCGAUGGAAUCCAUCAUGUUGCUGAUGUCACUACUCUCAACUCCUGAUGGCAUCAGAACACAGGCAGCAUCAAGAUCAGGCUCAAGAUGCAGGAUUUUAUCAUCCAAAUCAGGCCCACAUAUGGAUGAAACCCUUCAGGUAUUCUGCACAUCUCUCAGGAAACCCAGAUGAAAUUGAGUGCCUGCUGCCCACAUCAGCAACCCAGACAUCCCACUUGAUUCUGCUUCUGGAGCCUAAGAUGGGAAAAUGGCAGGUGUCGCAGGUUGCAGGGGAAGGUCGGAGACCAGUUGAGGGCCCCGGAGUCUGUCUGGAAAGAGUUUUCCAUCCAGCCCGUCUCGGUUUCCGCAUCCGUGUGAGUCCUUUAUGACGUCGGGAAUGCCAAGGUCUGAGUCCUUUAUGAUGUUCAGGGUGCCCCGGUCUCACCCCGGGAGCCUCCUCGCUCCGGCCUGCUCCUGGCUACCCGGUGGGCGGCUCUGGCCCCAGCGACCCGCUACUGUUUCUCCAUGCGCUGCCACUUCGCAAAGGCACAUCUCUAGGUCAGUGGUCAGCUGCAGCCAGGGCGCUGCAACUCGCUCCAGGACUCGGGAAUCAGGGCCUUGGUGGGCCUCGCAGAGUGCUGGGUGUGUCGCCUGCGGGCUCCUCUUUUGGAGAAAGGAGGGAGGGAAAGGCCUUGUGAGACGACUCCAGGAGCGACCAGCGACCCCCACAAGGCCCAAGUCCUCCCAGCGCACUCAGAAACAGUCACUUAAAUGGCAAUAAGGUUGAGAAAGACUCUCCCGUGCCCCCGUGCUGGUGUAGUGGCUGUGAUUCAGUCCUUUCACCACCGCAUCCCGGGUUCGAUUACCGGUCAGGGAGUUGUUUUGCACUGACUGCCCACCCGCAGUAAUCUUUCUUUACUCCGCUGUCAGCCGGCCUGCUCCAAGAGCCAGAGGCAGAAGAGUCUCCCUGCAAGGUGCAAACCCUGGCGAAGGAGGGCAAGUCCUGGUGGACGGCCUCUCAUGACACACCCUCUUAUUUAUCUCCGUGUCCACCAUUCGCAGAAGGGGCUUUAGAGAGCGACUGAGCGUCUCGCUCAGGUGUACACCACCGUGCAGAGAUGGCAGCUCUCCUGGAGGUGUACCCAAGAAGCCCACCAUCUUUGCCGCCUCCGCCAUCCCAGAGGCGCCGAUUGGGCUGAGCUGCAAAUAACUAAGAGAGAGAGAGGCCAAGCCAAGUCGUGGCGUUUGUGUGCGGCACACGUCGUCAGCUGACACAGGCGGUCAGCUGAGCCUCCUCACCUCAGUUCGCAGCUAACAUGCUUCUUAGGCCUUCGGAAGAGGCGACAGGAGGCGAUGGCCGCGAGGUUGGGAGGGGGGUGAGCGGCGGGUGAGGUCCUCCAGGACCGCCCAUUUAUUGACUGGGUGGUACAGGAGGGCGAUGUUCGCUUACCCAACAACGACAGCAGGUGGAGUAGGCACUAAUGGAAAACUGUGGCCGGUGCCCUAAGCAGAAGGCAGGUGUAAAAAUCACUAGGACAUCAAAGGGAUAGUACCACAGUCAAAUCCCGCAAUGUCUGUCUACACUCUACCAAGCAAUUGUGCACCCUCCCCCUUUUCCAUUCAGUACUCCCAAGAAGGGUUGGGACGAACCCUGUGUCCACUGUAAAGCUCAGGGGAGAGCGGGAGCGAGGGAGGUGAAGUGCACAGACUGGGCAGAGGCGGCGGGCAGAACUGCGGGGGUGAGAGGGCGCGGUGGCUGCGGGGCGGGAGCCUCUGCUGAAAGGAGGCCUGGGUUGUCCUGUGGGUGACUGUUGGUGGAAUCUUUGGCAGCGAGUGGUUGGAAGAAUGGCGACGGGCGAGCAGAGGGGAAGGUGGUGACCCUGAGCGUCUGGCUAGGGGAGAGGAGGCUGUACUGACACUCGUCUCCUCUUACCUGGCGAGGGACAGACCGUGGUCAAGAAGGGAGCUCUCCCUGGUUGAGGCUAGUCCACCACACUCCAGCUGCUCUGACCCCUGCGAUUUCCCUACACGCGGGGCGCUUGUCUGCGGUGGUGUUUGCGCUACCCGGGGGCUGGGUUCACGCAGGCUCCUGACAGUCCUUGGCUCACCGCCCCCGACGCGGAUAUCGCCGCUAGAGACCCUUCCGCCACCCUCCUAGGGAUCUUGAGGGCCUUCCUUGUUGUUCCGACUGAAGCUCACGAACAGACAGAUGUGAGCUCUCUGUCUUUUACACGUUGAAUUUGGCUAUUGGCAAAAAAAGCCCUGACCCAGAGCUUGGGACUCCUCCCGGCCUGCACACGACUUCCCGACUCUUGCCUCCUAGCGCGGCUCUUGGCUAGCGGGCGGGCAGCCUCCACCCAGCGUAGAACCGCGGCAGCCGCAGCCCCCGCAGGCUGGCGGUCAGACACUAGCAGGAAAAGGGACACAAGGCCUGCGUGGUGGGAAAGCAUGGGAGACGUCGCUUUCCCACCAGGCGAGAAGGUCUCCCUACAGUCUUUGGACAGAAGAUGGAGGGAGGCACCCCUUCCAGGAGCAAGGCGGCUGCUCCUGAGGCCUGGCUCCGCACGGAGGCUCCUGGGUCCCGCGCGCCCUCUCCCUACCGGUUAUAGCCAGAGCUGCUUCACACAUCUCAGCCGGCUUCCUCUUCCGCCUCUGCCACCUCUUCCUCCCCAGCUCGUGGGAAAGACCUAGCCUCCUCUCCAACACUUGGAGAGGGAGUUGGAUGAACGUCUCCUAACCCCAGUAGGACAGAGAUCCUGAGGUAGGAGGGGACCCCUUGCCUUGCUGCUUCUUUUGGCACCGCUGACCCGGGCCCAGGACUCCUCGCUCCUCCUGGAAGGCCUGGGUCGUGUAGCCCACAGAGGUGGCCACGUGGGCAUCUCCCCCACUGCUCCUCAUAGAACCGGAGGCAUUAUCCUGCCGGGCCCACUCUUACCCAUGAAAGAAACUUGGGAAAUGCUCCCGGGGAAGCCGGGGAUCUGGGCGCUCGACCACUUCGGUGUGAAUCUUCCGUCCGCUCAUCCUUCCUUCGGAGGGUCUUGGGGAGAGGAGAAAUGCUCAAGGACGAUGCGCUUUGCAGCGUCUCAAGGGAAACUAGAUCUCAACGGAUACCAGAAGUCUGGAGCGUCUUCCUGGAGGAAGGCGGCCCGAGGCCUGCGGUUGCAGGGAGGCUUGCGGAGCACAGCGCCCUCUCUCAGCCUGAGCUAUCCAGUGGCUUCCAGCAUCCCAGCUGGCCGACUCCACUUCCUCUCUCUUCCUCCUACUGCGGGUCUUCUUCUUCUCUUUGGGGACCGAAUCUCGCUCUGUCGCCCAGGCUGGAGUGCAGUGGCGCGAUCUCGGCUUACUGCAACCUCCGCCUCCCGGGUUGAAGCGAUUCUCCUGCCUCAGCCUCCCGAAUAGCUGGGACUACAGGCGCGUGCCACCACGCCCGGCUAAUUUUUUGUAUUUUUAGUUGAGACGGGGUUUCACCCUGUUAGCCAGGAUGGUCUCGAUCUCCUGGCCUCUUGAUCCGCCCGCCUCGGCCUCCCAAAGUGCUGGGAUUACAGGCGUGAGCCUCCGCGCCCGGCCUACUGCGGCUCUUCUAUCCUGGUGUUCUUUGAAUGCCUAUCUUCCUUUUGUGCCACAGAACCUCUCACGCCCGCCACAGGUUGCUCAUUUCCUUGGUUGUUCUGAACUUUAAAUAAGUUAAUGUAUGUAAGAGUGCCAUAAAUGCUCAGUAAUUGACAUCUGUUAUUUUCAUCAGUAACAUCAUCUGAAUCAUCUGUAUUGUCUAUUUUUAACAACUGCAUUUUUCAUUGUCCAAAUAAAGUCACAUACAUUUGAACAUUAUAUAAUGAUUGAAUAAUAAAAUUAUUCUGCUAUUUUACAAUAAAAA
This 5463-nucleotide long non-coding RNA is filed under the name Homo sapiens (human). RNAcentral's name for it is "PREDICTED lncRNA (TCONS_00019550)". The record is from RNAcentral. Lineage: Eukaryota; Metazoa; Chordata; Mammalia; Primates; Hominidae.